RNAcentral lists this long non-coding RNA (4793 nucleotides) under Lupinus angustifolius (narrow-leaved blue lupine). Its description in RNAcentral is "long non-coding RNA (LANG_LNC003533)". The record is from RNAcentral. Lineage: Eukaryota; Viridiplantae; Streptophyta; Magnoliopsida; Fabales; Fabaceae.
AUGAGUAUCCUUCAGCUCAUGUAUCCUCAUUGACAUCAAUGUCAUCAUGUUCUUCUUCAAUGGUUAAAACUGAGCAUGAUAAGCAAGUGAUUGAGUUUGAGUAUUUAGAUGACAAAUUGUUAGAGGAACUUCUUGAUUGUGAUGAGAAUAACAUUAAGAAAAACUUGCCUAUGUAGGGUGAUGAAAAGUGUAAUGCAAUAUCUAGUGAAAAGAACAUUUGGUAUCAAGUUUGAAUAUUUAUUUACUAUUAGAUGUUAAAAGCAAAAUAUAUGUGAUUGUAUGACGAAUUUCUUCAUUACUUUACUAAAUAUGACUCGCACCAAAAACUUGCUAUUAAUGAGUUAAGAUAUGCUUCAACCUUAGUUUGGUAUGGCCUUAUAUAAAUUGGAAUUAUUUAUUUUUUAUUUAUAAAUGAUUAUAUUAAAAAAAAUCAUUCCCAGAAGGUUUUCCAAUAUCUUUUGAAGUAAGUAAGCUUUGACUUUUGAUACAUUGCAAGCAUGUUAUUUUUAGAUGUUACAUCUUUGUUGAGUAUAGUGUAUGAAAAACUAUGAGCAGCUUAAAUAAGGUUAUCUUUCGAUGAUGCUUUUUAUCUAAACCAUAAAAGUUGAAUAAAUUAUGUACAAAUAUAUUGUUAAAUAUAAAUAGGGUUUUAAUAUAAUCACACUCAUCAUUUUCCUCAUGCUCCAUAUUCCAAUUCUAAGAUGAUGUUACACUUAUAAAUAAUUAUUUAUAAAACGAAUUUAUGAUCUAAUUAAGACCGAUUAAGCUUUUAAAAUUUUGGUGAAAUAAUGAUGUGGAAAGCCCUUUCAUCUAUCGAGACAAUUAAUUAAUUAAAAAUAUAAAUGGAAUCACAAAAGUAUAACUGGGAUUAUUCCAUUUUAUUAGCCACGUCAGGUAGUUACGAUCAAGCAGAUUUCAACCAGAGUAGUUGUAAUUUUCUAAAUAAUAAAUACAAAUAAAUGAUUUUAUAAAAUCAAUAUAUAUACAAAUGCUCCUGCAUAACAAAAAAAGAGAAAAAUAUCUACAUAUUGAAACUGAAGGGUUUUCACAAUAUUAUUAUAUCAUAUAUUAUUUAAUUUUAAAUAUAAAUGAUAUAAAUGAAUAAUAAAUAAUAUAAUAACUUUACUGAUAUUUGUUUAUUUUUUAAUUAUUUUUGGAACAAGACAUCAGGCCUCUUAUAUUAUAUGCAUGUUAUUAUUACAUGGAAGUUGGUAAGACAAUUGAAGAGAAGAAACAAAACUAGUAGACACUUAUUGGAUAAAGCUUUUUUACAAAAUGAUAUUUUUUUAAGUGUAAAGUUUAGUGUAAAAUCUUAGUAGAACUUAGGAUGACCAAAAGUUAAAAAAAUUGAUUUUUAGAAAUGACACCGGUUGGAAUAAGCAAUUAUGCACCAAAAAAAUUAAUUACUUAUCCAUGAGGUGAAUGGAUAUAGAUAAGGAUCCCCUGUCCUAAUAAAAUCAUGUCCCUAUAUAUUAAGUCAAUCAAAUUUCAUAAAAUAAUGUAUAAAUAUUAAUUCAUGUUAUUAUAAUUUUUAUUUUCAUUUAAAUAUAAGAUUUUUUGAUUGGAAUGAGACACCAAAUAAGACAAGAAUGAAAACACUAGAAGAGUGUAAUAGUUUUUAUUUAUUAGUUAAUUAAUUAAUAAGAAAGUGCAGUAGAAUAAAUUAUUUUCUAUAAAAUCUGGACGAAACUCAGAGACAUGUUUGAACCUAUCAAAUUCUUCUAAUCACUUCCAUUCAUAUAUAUAUAUAGUAAUUGAAAUGAAAAGAUUUCUGACAUAAAAAUAAUAAAUUUAGAUAUUACAAAAUAAAAAAAGAAUAAGAGUUAUUACUUGUACUAAAUAAAAAAAGAGUAUAAAAUUUACGCAUUGUCAGUGUAAAAAUUUAUACACAUGCACCUCAACAUCUACCAUUUAUUUAGAUUACAUUUUUUGAAAAGUCAACAACAAUUAAAUAUCAAUGGUAGAUAAUGCAAUGAUAAUGUAUAAAACUCAUAUACUGUCAACCUAUACAUAUUUUUCUCAUAAAAAAAUCAGCAGUGACUUUAUUUGACAUACUUCAACCCCUUUCCUUAUAUCUCCCCUCAAAAGUGUAUGUCAUUUGGCAAUAGUUGUGACCAACAUUGGCACACAUGUAGUAUUUUCUAAAAGACCAGUCCUCUCAAUUUGCCAAAAGAUAAGAAAGAAUCUCACCAGAUCAUAGGUUUAAUACAACAAACAAUUUUCAUCAUUUAGGCAACAUAACCUUUUUAACGAUUUCCUCUACAUUGAAGAAGGGUGAUAAAACAAUUUUCUCUUUUAAAUUUUUGUAAAAAAAAUUCCUUUUAUUUUUUCCAAAGAAACGUUCUUUUUGCUUAGGAAAAGCAUUAGUAAAAAAGCACAAGGAGGUGCUUGCCGAAAAAAAAAGGAUUAUAUUCAAAUAUGACCCUACCUACAAAAAGCAAGAAUAUAAUACAAGACCAAUGAUCUAUGUACUACGGUGGAAAACAAGCAAAUUUGGUCCAAUACUAGAUGAAAAUUAAGAUCAUGAUCUAAUUUCAAUCCAAUGGUAUCUAUAUAGCUAACCUAUUUUCCUAUAUGAAAAUUAAAUCAUUCUGCAUUAGCCAAAUAGAUGGUAGAAUUGUGAACCACAAUUUUCUUAACAAGUGGCUCCCUUUGCAUUUCUACAUAGUAAAAACAUUUCCAAAUGUUUGAUGUAAAGAUACAAGUUGGUUAUCAAUCACAUCUCAAUUGGAGUGGAUCUAAAUGUACAACCAACUUACAAACAAAAUGAGUUAACUCUCCCAGACAAUCAACAUGAUUCACCUCCCUCCUAUAUCUAAGGCAAUUAAAUAUCAUAUGAAAUGAUGACUAUUUUGGAAAAUCAUGUUUGGGACAUGUAUAUAGUGGAAGUACAUUCUCAUUCCUGGAAAUUAAAGAUGUAGUCACUUUACUCAACCACAAAUUACAUUAUCUCAAUCACUAAUAUAUUACUAAAAAUGAAAUGGUAAAGAGGGAUAAACUAGGGGUAAGCAUGAGCCAGGUUGGACCGGGUAAGGUUUGUCCUUUACUCUAUCCUAAAUGUUGGUAGGGUCAUUUUUUUGAACUUGAACUCGAUCCUAAACUCGAAGUAAACAUGACCCCAAAUAUCAAUUGAGACAACCUUCCAACCCAAACUAGACACGAUUAAUUAUAUUGCAUACAUCUUUUACAUAAAGUUUUCUCAUUAUUUUAUUUAUUAUUAUGAAUAUGUAAUUUUGACACAUGAAAUAAUAUAUGUAUAUAUGCUGAGAAAUUAGAGAACCAAUGGUACUUUCGACAAAAGAGAUAUCAUUAUUCUAUGAUCGAUUGAAUAAAUAUACAUACAAACAUGAUAAGUGAGUGACCAUGAGACAGGUUAGACCGUGUCAUCUUUAUCCCCUACCCUACCUAAAAAUUGUACGAGUCUAAUUUUUGAACCUAUACCUGAUUGUAGACCGAUGAGACCCGAUCAUAUUUGAGUCCGAUCAUGAUUGGGCCAAACUAGAUGAGCAAGUAGGACCGAGUCUUGCUCACCCUAGGAUAAACCAUGAUUCUAUGAAUUUUGGAGAUGUCAAUGUUCUAUGGUAUUACUCACCUUAACUAAGACUCCUUUUACUAUUUUGUCCAUGAUAAUAGUAUCUUUCUGAAAAAUACUAAGUUCUAAAUCUUAAUAUUAAUAUAUGGGAGAGGAUCCACUUACUCUUGUUUUACAUCUUAGUCAUCUAUUUUAUGAAAAUCUAAUGAUUUAGAUCUACUCACUAAUUCAAAUCAUUAAAUUUUCAUAAAAUAAAUGACUAAGAUGUGAAGUAGUUUUUUUCCAUUUAAUUUUGGAGUAAGUUAAUUCUUCCCUUAAUAUAUAUUCUAGUUUAUGCAUACAAAUAUGUAUAAAUAAUUAUAAACUAGUGAAAAUUGAGGAAGUUAAUUUAUAAUAUAUGUUAGAGAAUGCAUUUAGUACAGUAAAACAGACAUGCUCAGGAUCGUUUUCUUUAAUUUUUUUAUAGAGAAAAGUGUCUAAUUUCUAAAAUAUGUCUAAAAAUAUUACAUUAAUAUAUGUAGCAAAAUAUAUAUUGAAAGGGGUUGGACCCCAUGAGAAGUUGUACUAGUUGCUCAGAUCACAUUUUCAAACAAAGACAACUCAAAAUAACCCAUUUACCAUGCUAAUCAUUGCUUACAUGUAUGCUGCGCUUAUGUGCUUCAACAUCAGGUCCAUCAAUUCGAUCACUGUCUUGUUGACAAAAGCCACUGCCAUUAGUUGGAAGAUUAUAUUUUUAUAUGAACAUAAAAGAUAUAUUACGUGUUCUAUAAAAUAUGGUUGUAGUUGUAUUAUUUUUAUCACGAUUCCAAAACUGUGGCAAGCCUAACAGCAAUCACAAGCUGCAAUAUUGUUACAGAAACUCUCAAAAUCAUAACAUUAUGACCACAAUUGAUGCUAUAGGUUGCAAUUUAAAAACUGAUUAUAUGAUUCACUCAUUUAUUACUAUUUACCAUGUUCAUCAAAGUAUGAUAACAAUAAUAAUGUAAAAAUUGACAAACCACGUAUAAACGAAUACCAUAUAACCGAUAUAGUGUUUCAAAUAACCAUGACAUAUACAAAAGAGAGAAAGAAAGGCAGAAUAUGAUAGAGUGGGGAGAAAGACGAGCUUAGUUUAUACCUUUUAGUGUCUCUUCCAAGUACUAGAUAUACUUUGUUCAUGAAAUACUAAGCAAUUAAGUAUCAAUUAAGUCAAACGUGGAAACACACAAGAAAUAUAAAACUAUCACUUCAAUGAUGCUUAAGGUAGAAGUGCAUUUCAGAC